RNAcentral lists this ribosomal RNA (253 nucleotides) under uncultured bacterium. Its description in RNAcentral is "partial 16S ribosomal RNA". It matches the Rfam family "Bacterial small subunit ribosomal RNA", at positions 524 to 776 of the family's 1533-position model. The record is from RNAcentral.
UACGAAGGGUGCAAGCGUUACUCGGAAUUACUGGGCGUAAAGCGUGCGUAGGUGGUUUGUUAAGUCUGAUGUGAAAGCCCCGGGCUCAACCUGGGAACUGCAUUUGAAACUGGCGGGCUUGAGUAUGGCAGAGGGGGGUGGAAUUCCGCGUGUAGCAGUGAAAUGCGUAGAGAUGCGGAGGAACACCGAUGGCGAAGGCAGCCCCCUGGGCCAAUACUGACGCUCAGGCACGAAAGCGUGGGGAGCAAACAGG